AAAUAAAUGUGCCAAGUGUACUAAAAUUUAGCAUACUUUUGUGUACUUGAAGCCACACUAAUCAUCAAUAUACUUCAGGGCAAGAACUUUCCUUUAAGCCUGAAAACAAUUGGGGAAUACAAAAUGAGGACUGACUGUGCAGGUUGUAGGUGAGCUGGAGCCACACCCGGCUGACUUCUGGUGAGAGGUGGGGUUCACCCUGGACAGGUCACCAGACUAUCACGGGGCAAACACAGGGAGACAGCCAUUCACACUCACACCUAUGCCAAACCAGAGCACCCAGAGGACACCCACAUCAACACAAAGUGAACAUACAAACUCUACAUUGAAAGGCCUUUGGUCAACUGCCAGGUUUGAACCUGGAACCUGUUUGCUGUGAAGCCCCACUUAAAAGGAGAAGCACUCAUCUGCUUUCACACAGCAAUGAAUUUUAUAAAUUAAUAAACUUAAAUUUAAU
Neoarius graeffei (lesser salmon catfish) is the source of this 457-nucleotide long non-coding RNA. RefSeq lists it as uncharacterized. NCBI's taxonomy places the organism in Eukaryota, Metazoa, Chordata, Actinopteri, Siluriformes, Ariidae. The transcript has 3 exons. The record is from RefSeq and is a predicted model, not a curated record.